UUUAAAUAAUCGGGUUAAUAGAUAUUCUAAUAUUUUUUAUACCCUAAAAUGAUUUGAUUGAAUUGGGUAUUGACAUCUAUUGUUAACGGGCCUAGUUGAGCAGCAAAGUGUAGGCAAUUGUAUUUGACUGAAGCCCGUAAUAGGAAGGGCCAGUUGUUGAUUAGGGUUUGCUAGGUCCCCUCUCUAGCCUAUAAAAAGGUAGGUUAUACCUAUCAGUUGCUUUAAUCCUAUUGAAAGCUGCUAUACCGAAAUAGGUCAUAAAGAGGAAGAUCUGGUAUUCCAAUAGAUCCCUGAUUAUCAGAGUGAUCUAGUUUUCUUCAAGUAAAGCAAUUGCUCAAACAGGUACGCUUUAAUUCCGCUAUAUUUAUUGAUCUCGGUGUUUUACAAUCAUGUAUGGAUCCGUUUGUUCUUAAUUGAUUAAUUGUUUAUGAGAAUAAUAUUCUACAUUAAGUUUAUAGUCUCCAAGCACCCCCACCUCCAGGGCAUAAACUUCGAUCUACCUCAUGUUGUCAAAAAUGGGCUUUCUUAUCCCGGUAAUUGAUUUUCGAACUAAAAUUUCUUACUUCCUCUAUAAACAUACAAAGUUCAAUGAAAAUUAUGCUGCAUAGAUUAAUUCUCUCAACGGAUCGGACCUUUCUAAUUCAUUUCAAUUCAUGUUAAAAACAUCUCGUUUGCUCCAUACCUGUUGAUUGCCUUCUUCCUAUAAUUAUGUCGCCUAUAUACAGUUGGCCCUUCUAAGGAUGUCUUAUGAAGCAAUGACGACGAAAUGAGACAACUAGUUUUUUAUGGCAGGUUUGGAGAAUGUAGGAGGGAGCUUUGUGGAUGAUCCCAUCCCAAAAGGAGACAUCCUCUUAACGAAGUUACUUUGGAUUAAUUGUUUAGCACUCAAGCUCCCGGAAAUGAGAUGAAAAGAAACGUUGGCAAUUCCAUAGUUUCACGGACGAGUUUGGCAUACAGCUCCUGAAGAAAUGCUGGAAGGCGUUGCCGGCAUCGGGCAAGGUGGUGAUCAUAGACCCAGUCAGCCCGGAAUACCCAGGGACGGACCUAGUGACCCGGGCCACGUUCACUUCCGAUAUGGUCAUGCUGGCAUUGCCUCCAGGAGGGAAAGAUCGGACGCUGAGGGAAGUCGAGGUCGUGGCCCACGCGGCCGGGUUCAGCUCCCCGAAAGUGGGCUGCCAGGUCCUCAACAUGUGGGCGCUUGAGCUAU
Eucalyptus grandis is the source of this 1207-nucleotide long non-coding RNA. RefSeq lists it as uncharacterized. Lineage: Eukaryota; Viridiplantae; Streptophyta; Magnoliopsida; Myrtales; Myrtaceae. The transcript has 2 exons. The record is from RefSeq and is a predicted model, not a curated record.